Molecule: ribosomal RNA, 365 nt
Filed under: uncultured bacterium
Lineage: Bacteria
Description: partial 16S ribosomal RNA
Rfam family: Bacterial small subunit ribosomal RNA
Source: RNAcentral
CCUACGGGGGGCAGCAGUGAGGAAUAUUGGUCAAUGGACGAGAGUCUGAACCAGCCAAGUAGCGUGAAGGAUGACUGCCCUAUGGGUUGUAAACUUCUUUUAUAUGGGAAUAAAAUGUUCCACGUGUGGGAUUUUGUAUGUACCAUAUGAAUAAGGAGCGGCUAACUCCGUGCCAGCAGCCGCGGUAAUACGGAGGAUCCGAGCGUUAUCCGGAUUUAUUGGGUUUAAAGGGAGCGUAGGUGGAUUGUUAAGUCAGUUGUGAAAGUUUUCGGCUCAACCGUAAAAUUGCAGUUGAAACUGGCAGUCUUGCUUACAGUAGUGGUGGGCGGCAUUCGUGGUGUCGCGGUUCACUGCUUCGCUAUCCC